Stegodyphus mimosarum is the source of this 73-nucleotide non-coding RNA. NCBI's taxonomy places the organism in Eukaryota, Metazoa, Arthropoda, Arachnida, Araneae, Eresidae. The record is from Rfam.
GCCUUCGGGGUGUAAUGGUCAGCAGACUGAGCCGGUAUUUCAGAGGUCCGUGGUUCGAUCCCCGGCGACGGUA